AACUUUCAACAACGGAUCUCUUGGUUCUCGCAUCGAUGAAGAACGCAGCAAAAUGCGAUAAGUAUUGUGAAUUGCAGGAUUUUGUGAAUCAUCGAAUUUUUGAACGCACAUUGCACCUUCUGGUAUUCCGGAGGGUAUACCUGUUUGAGCGUCAUUU
This 157-nucleotide ribosomal RNA is filed under the name Lipomyces starkeyi. RNAcentral's name for it is "5.8S ribosomal RNA". It matches the Rfam family "5.8S ribosomal RNA". Rfam says of the family: 5.8S ribosomal RNA (5.8S rRNA) is a component of the large subunit of the eukaryotic ribosome. It is transcribed by RNA polymerase I as part of the 45S precursor that also contains 18S and 28S rRNA. Functionally, it is thought that 5.8S rRNA may be involved in ribosome translocation. RNAcentral also lists the same sequence under 2 other names. The record is from RNAcentral. Lineage: Eukaryota; Fungi; Ascomycota; Lipomycetes; Lipomycetales; Lipomycetaceae.